CGUGGCUCGACAGAGCAGGCUGGACGGUCUCCGUGUUGCUUACCGUCCAGUCGCGGAAAUCGCUGAUAAAAGAAUACGCGCCAGUGUCGUUGAUCCGAUGUCAGUAACCGCGGCUGGGCCAGUCGUUCUUGUUGCUACAAUAUUACGGUAACUGGCGUUCCGACCGUGUCAGUGCCAAUGGUUUGAAAAAUCUGAUUUUACGACAUGACCAUAGAUAAUAAUAUCGAUGAUAUUAUCUACGGACACGACGACCUACGGUAUAGAGAAUAUUAUAGAGUUCUCUGGAUUAUCUGUAAUAUUAUUAUAAAAUUUAUAAGCGCCAAAAAUCAGAUAAUAUGAUUUGUGUUAUUAUAGUUCGUCAGUAGUUGUAGUCAGUACCUUAGAGUAAGUACUCACCGUCACUCAACACCCGCAUUUGUUAUCUCCGUCUUACGAGUGCGUAAUAUUGCAAAUUUACACUCAAGCUUCAGAAAAUCACUUUUAGCUCCGUUAGUUUAAAAAUUACAGUGGAUAGACCUAUUAUGCAAUUUGACGGUAAGAACAUUAUCUGUGUUUGCGUGUUGUUUUUUUACGAUUAUUAAGUUUUUUGGCGAGCUAUGAGUAUUUUUAAUUUACGUUAUAUCAUAUUAUAAUAUGCAUAACUUGUUAAAAAAAUGGAACUACCUAUCGUAAAAAAAAUCGACUUACAAAAACAGAUAGUGUUGUCAUCAACAAGUUUCGUAAUAGGUCUAUAAGUCUAUUCACUCUAAUUUUUAAACUCUCAGUGCCAUACGUGAUUUGCUGGACGUAAAUUUGCCAUGUUACGGACUUGUAAGACAGACACAACACAUGCGGGUGAAAAAAAAGACCUUGGCCUGUGGUGAUGCCAUUGCAUAAUGUGUCUGGGCACUGAAAAGGUUAAACAAUUAAUAUUUAAGAAAGUUGUUUUCCUAAAAAACAAUGUUUACGUCGUUAGAUUUAAUUUUUAUUGCCGUCAUGUGCUGCAGCCCUAAAAUCACUGUAUUGCACAUUUGUUUGGUCAAUUUUAGAUUAUAACUCAAUAAUUUAGUCUCCUUACGUAUCUGGUCCGAUUAAUUCUCUUGAAGCGAUCCAAAAUUGCUUUUUGAGAUUUAUUAGUAGGUAUUAAUGUAAAAUUGAACGUUUACCUCACACUUCAUAUAAACCUUUACUUUUUAACUUAAACCUUGAUGCUCUUCAAAUCAAUGGUUAAAACAAGAUGUAUGUUUUGUAUAAAAACUGUUGAAUAACUAUUAACAUAGUUAACUGUACGGAUUUAUUAUCUAAUUUAACGUUUUUAGUUCCUGGUUAUACUAAUAUUGACAGUCUGACACUUUUUAUGUGCCAGUCCAACGUACUUUAUAUGGUAAAAAUUCUCCAUUAAUUAAAACUAUGAAACAUGUAAAUAACUUUAAUAUUAAUAUUUUUAUUUGUAAUUCUAUUGAUUCUUUUAAUCUAUAUCUUAAUAAUUUAAUCACUUAACACUGCAUAUAUUUUGUUUGUAAUUUUGAUUCUCUAUUAUAUGUUAGUUAUUUAAUCACUUUAUUAUUGUAUCUUCACCACGAACAAAGAUAUAUCUUAUAUAUCUUAGUCUGUGAUCUCCACAAUACUUUAUGAUAAUUGUUUGAUAUUCUACAUAAUAUACUAUUGUAAUUGGGCUCGACCGCUUAAUAAUAAAUAAAUAAAUAAAAUAACUAAUAUAAGUAACAAAAAACUAAAAUAAUAUCUUUAAUGAUAAAUAUACUUAUUUUUUAAUUAUAAAAUAAAAUAAUAAUUUAAAAAUGAUAAUGAAUUUUUAUGUUGUAUGCCAUUUGGUGAAACAAGUUAGUCCUUUGCCACAACAUAAACUUAUUUGACAUUUUCCACACAUCAUAAAAGUAAAACUUUUGCAAUCUGGAUUUUUACAUCUAGUUUUUUUUUCACUUUCAAUUGGUCAAUGAUUUAAUUUAUCAGUUCUAACCUCUUUUGGUGGUGCAUGCUGGCCUAUUUUAGUGCUCAUUUUACCUUUUUUUAUAAUUUCUUCUUGCACAUCAGUAGUGGAAUGUCGACGUUUAGGGGUAUAGGUACUAAUUUUGCAGAGGAAUAAAGCAAGUUGUUCCCUAAACUUUACCAAUGAUAGUACACUAUUAUUUCCUUUCUGUUUAUGAAUUCUUUUAUGUAGAAGUCAAGAAUUUACUACAGUUACAUCCAAUAAAUGGUGGAAAACUCUUAUGUACCAUUUUCUACUCCUCAUCUUUAUCUUAUGAUGCCCAAGUAACCCAUCUAAUAAAUCAACACCACCCAUGUGUCUGUUAUAUACUUGUAUUAUAUUUGGAUAAUUAACCUCAAUUCUUUUUUUUUUCUGUCAAACCUACUUACUCUUACAACUGAGUCCAUAGCAGUAAAUGUCAACAGCAAACUUAUGAUUUUUGUAUCUUUCCAUGUGUGAUAUGACAGCAACUUUGUCUAUAUCUAACACUUAGGAAAUACAAUGGACAGUAGUGCCCCUAGGUUGUUUCAUUAGAACAGAAUCAUCUGGCAACAUUACAUUUUUUUAACCUAUUUCUUUUUAAAGUGCUUAAAGAUAUAUUUUAAAUAAGCCAAUAGUGGCAAUGUAGUAUAAUAAAUGUCAAAAAUAAUUUAAAAUGUUGAUUAUUAGGUAUAACUCUACUAAGGCGCAUAACAACAUUUGCACUAGCACCUAGGUCUGGCCAACUUUUCUACUUUCACUAUUAUUUUCUUGACCUGAAUAAAACUCAAAAUUAUAUGUAAAACCUGAGACACCACUAAGAACAAAAAACUUGUAACCCCAUUUAUAAGGUUUAUUGGGUAUAUAUAGUUUGAGUGAACUUGGUGCUUUUGUAAGAUAUAUUUGUUCAUCAACUCUCAAGUUUUCUUCAAUUGGUGUAGAACUAAAUCUUUUUCUUAACGUUUCAAUAAGUGGCCUAAUUUUAUGUAUUUUAUUUGUCAGGACCAGUAGAGCUUGACAAAUUAUCAUUAAAAUGAAGAUUAGCUCUAAUUCUUUCAAAUAUAUUUAAAGUUAUUGUAGUUUUUAUUAAAUCAUUAUCUAAAACUGGAAACUAAUAAUUUCUAAUAUUAAAUGUAUUUACCAAACUCAUAAUUAUAAGAAUACCAAUAUAUUUUUGUAAGUCUUCAUUAUUAAUUUUUAAGGGGGUACUAGAGUUAUUCUGUACACCAUAUUUAUAUGUUUCACAACAUAUAUGAUCUAAUAAAUUAAAGGUAAAAAAAUAUUUGAAUAUCUGAAAGGGUGUUUCUAAUUCAAGGGUAUCACUAGGUAAAUUGAAAUUGCCAAGAUAAUGUGUAUUUAUUACUGGAAAGUUACUUUCAGUCCAAACAACAUUUUUCACUUCAAUUGGAUGUAUAGAAGGUACUGAUACAAUAGAUGGGAUUGUUUGUUUAGGUUGUCUAGUUUUUUUAUUACUUGAAACAUUUUGUUUUCUAAUAACUGGUUCAGUGGAUGUUGAGGGCGAUGAAAUAUUUAUAUCAGAAAAAUUAUUAUUAUCUACAACAGCUUCAAGAAUAGGAAAUAUAAUAUCUUCAUCGACAAUAGAUUCAGAAGAAAACUGUUGAGAUAUUAAUCCUUCAACGGUAGUAAUAUCUGGUUCUUCUAAUAAAUUACUAUAUUUACUAUAUAAAUCUAGUUGAUCAUCAUCGACGUUACUUUCAAAAUCAUUUUCAUAUCCUGAUGGUAUAUCUAAUAACUGUUAUAUGUCACUAUAGUCUAUUUUAUUAGCCAUAUAAAUUAAUAUUCCUAAAAAGUACACUAAAAACAGUCGAAAACUCAAAAUAAUAUUAGCAGUUGAACAGCGAUAGUCAGUGAAACGCAAGUUGUUGGCUAUUAGCAUGAACUAAGAUAUACGGUACAUUCAUGGCUAUUAGUAAUUAUUUGUUUAUAUCACAAAUAUCGCAUAUAUUACAAUAUAGUCGCACGAUUAAACGGCCCCACAGGUUUGAACAAAACAAUUAAAACUUUUCGAUAUUUUUUUAAAAAUUGUUCUAGGACGAUAUCGUCAAACACAAAUUUCAAAUCGCCUCCCUAUUGGCGCGAUCAGUCGCCAACGCUGAUUUUUAGGCGCCAAUACGGGUUCCAAAACCAUCACUACAACAAACGUCAACACACAGUGCAGCCUGGGCAACGCGCGGCCAUGUCAGCAGUCGCCACCGCCGGACAGUGGCGGCGGAUACGAGGGAGGUGGCGACGGGACGAUCGCCCCCUCCUCGGGCUGUAUUUUCUAAUUCUCAUAUUAUAAAUAAUAUUAUAACAUUGGGCUGGAGCUCACUGAAAGCCGAUGUUUCAUUUGUGAAAAUCUCCCCCCCCCCAUCGGGUGACUUCUGGAUCAGCUCGUGUACCUCCGUCGACUCGGUAUACUAACCUACCGCAACGACCUUGUCGCCACUCGCCCCCGAGCGUACCACCACUGAGUCCGUGUCCGUCGAUCCGUUCGCGUUACCGUGCCGAUCGUGUUUGUUUGAGUGUGAGUGUAUGUGUUUGCCGUAGAUCGAUAAAACGCACGACGGCCUGCCCUGCAGCCGAACAAUUCUGUUGCUGCGCGCCUAUCACUGUCAGCGACGUUAUCACGACUCCGGUCCAAGACGAGUCGAUAUCGCUCACGUAUAACAGGUUGGCAUAAAUUUCUACGGUAUGGCGAUCACAAAAAUAUGCUGUAUAGGUGCUGGAUAUGUUGGAGGGCCCACUUGCAGUGUAAUAGCAAUGCAGUGUCCACAUAUAAAAGUCACGGUUGUAGAUAUAAGUGCUCAACGUAUAUCUCAGUGGAACUCAGAAAAAUUACCCAUUUACGAGCCCGGACUAGAUGAUAUCGUAAAAAAACAAAGAAAUGUAAACUUAUUCUUUUCUACUAACAUCGAGGAAUCUAUCCAAGAAGCAGAUUUAAUUUUUAUUUCUGUAAAUACUCCAACAAUGACAUUUGGAGUAGGCAAAGGACGUGCUGUCGACUUAACGUAUGUUGAAAACUGUGCUAGGACUAUUGCCCAAGUUUCAACUAGUAAUAAAAUUGUAGUGGAAAAAAGUACAGUAUCGGUACGAGCAGCGGAAAACAUAUUAAACAUUUUAAAUGCUAACGAUAAGCCAAAUGUAAAAUUUCAAGUACUAUCUAACCCCGAGUUCUUGUCUGAAGGUGUCGCUGUUGAAAACCUAUUAAAUCCAGAUAGAGUUAUUAUAGGACACGAAGAAACCGCUGAUGGCUUAUGGGCUUUUAAGGAGCUCAGUAAAGUCUAUUUGAAUUGGAUACCCGAAUCAAAAAUCCUCAAAACAAACAUUUGGUCUUCAGAACUCACCAAACUAGCGGCUAAUGCAUUUCUCGCUGAUCGAAUUUCUAGUAUAAACUCAAUUUCUGUAAUAUGUGAAGCGAUUGGGGCAGAUGUCAGUGAGGUGGCUAAAGGCAUAGGUCUCGAUUCCAGAAUUGGCCCCAAAUUUUUACAAGCGUCAGUCGGUUUCGGAGGCAGUUGUUUUCAAAAAGAUUUACUUAAUUUAGUUUACAUAUGUGAAUGCUUAAAUCUUCCACAAGUAGCUGUUUAUUGGCAACAAGUACUAGACAUGAACGUUUAUCAAAAAUCUCGAUUUUCGAAUAAAAUUAUUAAAUCACUGUGUAAUACGGUCACUGGUAAAAAAAUAACAAUGUUUGGAUUUGCGUUUAAAAAAGACACAGGUGAUACUCGUGAGUCACCUGCAAUAUACGUUGCUAAGACGUUACUCGACGAAGGAGCAAAACUUAAUAUAUACGACCCGAGGGUGGAACCAGGACAAAUCAAAAAAGACCUCACGCAUCUAUACGUUACUGAUAAUCCAGAAAAUGUAAUUAAGUCAAUCGAAAUUCACGAUAAUCCAUACAGAGCUUCACACUCGACACAGGCUAUUGUAAUAUGCACCGAAUGGGACGAAUUUGUGAACUUAGAUUACGAAGAAAUUUAUAAGCAUAUGAUAAAACCAGCAUUUAUUUUUGAUGGUCGUAAGAUUCUGAAUCACGAAACCUUGGCCACAAUUGGGUUCCAAGUUCAUACAAUUGGAAAACGUUACAAUACAAUAAAUAUGUCUUCGGAACUGACCAAACUAGUAAAUUCAAAUUGUGUUAUGCGGCUAAUGCAUUUCUCGCUCGACGGAUUUCUAAUAUAAACUCAAUGUCUGUAAUAUGUGAAGCGACUGGUGCAAAUGUCAGUGAGGUGGCUAAAGGCAUAGGUCUCGAUUCCAGAAUUGGCCCCAAAUUUUUACAAGCAUCAGUCGGUUUCGGAGGCAGUUGUUUUCAAAAAGAUUUACUUAAUAUAGUUAAUAUAUGUGAAUGUCUAAAUCUUCCACAAGUAGCUGUUUAUUGGCAACAA
RNA transcript from Aphis gossypii (cotton aphid), 6330 nucleotides. It is a transcript of the gene named UDP-glucose 6-dehydrogenase-like, with no coding region annotated. The transcript is spliced from 12 exons. The record is from RefSeq and is a predicted model, not a curated record. NCBI's taxonomy places the organism in Eukaryota, Metazoa, Arthropoda, Insecta, Hemiptera, Aphididae.